ACUGAGCCACCCAGAUGCCCCUCCCUUUAGGUGUACAACAUAGUGAUUCGACAAUGCUGUACAUUAUGCUUUGUUCGCCAUGGCAGACACCUGUGGCUCAGCAUGAAGAGUACCACCAAGCCCACAAGCCCAGACAUGGUUACCUUUUUGCGUGGCCGAAGCUUGUCCCGCCAUUCCUUCAGGUUCUGGUUAUGGCUCUCAUCUAGAGCCUUCAGCUUCUGGGUUUCAUGUUCUACCAGGAGGUGACACUUUUCAUUCUGGAACAAAUUCCAGGCAGAACAGGAGAAAUUUGUAGUAAGGAUGAGGACAUGGACCUGAGACACUCCCAACAUUACCGUUCUCUCUCUGAGCCACAGGGAGCUGGUGUCAGAUGAAGACCUCAUGCCCUGCAAGACACAGAGCGGGCUGUGCUCAACCCACUAAGAAUGGUCAGUUUAUUGCACUGCAUUCCGAUCUGUGAAAACCGGUAGCCACCCACAGUACAUCGGAACGGUGAUUUGGCUUCCUGACCAAAAUCAGAACCACUGCCCCACAAGUAGGGUGGUUCUUCUGGACAUCAUGGGACAAAAAAAGAAAAUGCGGGCUUUCCUGAAACAUCUAUGGCUCCUCAGAACGUCAGAACAUGCAGGACCCCAUUUUGCUGGCCCGCACCCAAAUACUGAGGGGUCUACACUGCUCAGCUGUGUGGGCCAUCACAGCGCUGGCUGUAGGUUCUUCGUUGUGUCAGGAAGCCGGAGACGGUGCUGGUACCCUGGCCCUAUGUCUUUUACCUCUUCACGACAGGCUGCACCGUUGGCUCAAAAGCCCACAGGUGCCACACUCAAAUCUUCACCCAUCCAACUGUUUUACAUGUAGCUCAAACAACAGAUCUUUGGCCAUUUAGAGCCCACUUGCUUUGCACACCCACACAAAACUGCACCAAACAUCUGCUAGGCAGAGAUGAGAUAAAGCCAGGGCUAUAGAAAGACCCUAAGGCCCGCUGCCCUUCAGAGCUCUACCCUAGGACCCCCUUGCUGAGUGACCCCAUCCAGAUACAGAAGCCCUCCCUCCCCAGGAGUUCCUCUGCCCUCCCUCUGGGAGUGGCCCACACUGGGGUCUCCGGAAGGUCCCGUGCUGUGAGGGACCCGCCGGCGUGCAAACCUGUCAGAGCCCCACCACACCAGGGUGGUUAGGAGCUCAGCUUCAAGAGGAGACCCGCGGUCAAGGCCCACUCUACCACCCAUUAGCCAAGCAACCCCAGCCAAAGCACAGUCGCUCUGCAAGCAUCCGUUUUCUCGUCUACAAAAAUGCCUCGUUGCAUUAAGGUGAAGAUUCAAGGAGACUGAGCCAUGAAGACUGGCACACGGCCUGGCAAAGCAGUCGCUCGAUAUACAAUAGCUCAAUACUGUCCCCACUCCCGGCAGCCUGUUCACCCGGUGUACUUAUUUACAAUUUCUACCCACCCUAAAUCCCUCCCCUCCCUUAUCAGGAAUAAUGUUGGUGACAACUGGUAUCUGUGCCUCAGUCCUGACUUCAGUGGGGGUUGUCCCCAUGUUUCACUCUGAAGGAUGCUGUUUGGUGUUAGGAUGGAGAAGAACCUAGCAGUUCCUAGCAGAGCCCACUCUCUGGCACCCACCUCGAAGGAGUUCCUGCUUCCUAGUGAGACACUCGCGCUCCUUGUCACAAAUCUCCCGCCUGUUGUCAGCCGUGAUCUUCUUCAUCGCCAGCUCCAGGUCCUCCUUCUGCUUGGCCAGGAAGUCCCGGUCCUGUGUGGGAGAGAGGAGGACAGACCUUUAGCGCUGGCCUCGGCGUCUCACCCUCUACUGUUACUACAGAAGAAAAGUCAUCACGAGCAGCAGAGAAGACAUACAUGGGGAAAUGUGAGACUUAGAGACACGUCAACCAAUUGUGGCAAGUGCACUUUAUGUGGACCCUGAUUCAAUCAAAUUGUAAAAAAGAAAAAAAUUAAUGAGACAAUUGGAAAUGUAACUAAUGAUUCAACUGCAAAUAUGUCAAUAAGUAAUUAUUGUUAAAUAUUUAAAGGUUUAGGUACGUUUGUAGCAUUGUGGAUUUUUUGAGAGAUACAUACUGAGACAUUUACAGGUGAAAUGACAGGAUAUGUGGGAUUUGAUUUAAAAUAACACAGAAGGGUGGGGGAGUAAGGGAACAUGAGUUCAUAAUUCCUGAGAUCAGGUAAUAAGGGGGUUCUGGUUGUACCUAUUUCUGCCUGUAUUUUUAAUUUGCAAUAAUAAAGAGUUAAAAAAUUAAAAUUUAAAUACUUUAGGGAACACAUAAGCAAAAACAAAAAUCCCCACAAAUCCUAUCACCCAGGAGUAGCAACUGGUUUGGGGAUAUCUAUACAAACAUGUUUAUGUAAAAGGACUUAGAGAUUUGUACACCCAUAUUCGUAACAGCAUUAUUCACGAUAGCUACGGGGGAAACAACUCAACUAUCCACAGACAGAAGAGUGCAUAAACAAAAUGUAGUACAGAUACACUGUGGAACAUUACUCGGCCCUGAAAAGGAAGGAAAUUCUUACACAUGCUACAACAUGGGUGAAUCUCGAGGGCAUGUUAAUUGAAGUAAAGCAGACACAAAAGGACAAAUACUGCAUGAUCCCAUGUAUAGGAGGUCAGAUUCGUGGAGACAAAGUAGAAUGGUGGUUGCCAGAGACUGGGGGAGGGGUAUCAUGGGGUGUUACUAUUUAUUCAGUAGUAGUUUCAGUUUUGCCAGAUGAAGGGUUCUGGAGAUGGGUGAUGGGGAUGGUUGGCACAGUGGUGUGGAUGUACUUAAUACCACUGAACUGUAUGCUUAAAAAUGGUUAAGAUGCUAACUUUUGUUGGGUCUG
Molecule: non-coding RNA, 2827 nt
Organism: Leptonychotes weddellii (Weddell seal)
Lineage: Eukaryota; Metazoa; Chordata; Mammalia; Carnivora; Phocidae
Source: RefSeq, a predicted model, not a curated record